CUGAGGAGUGCUUCUUACGGAUGAGCAAAGAAAGUGGUUUCUUGAGAAGGAAUCUACUCCUGGUGAAGAUGCUGUGAAGAUUGUGGAAAUGACAACAAAGCAUUUAGAAUAUUACAUAAACUUAGUAGAUAAAGUGGUGGCAGGGUUUGAAAGGAUUGACUUCAAUUUUGAAAGAAGUCCUACUCUGGGUAAAAUGCUAUCAAACGGCAAAAUCAUUCGUGAAAGGAAGAUUCAGUCUUGUCUUAUUUUUAGAAAUGGCCAUGGCCACCCCAGCCUUCAGCAUCCACGACCCUGAUCAGUCAGCAGCCAUCAGCAUGGAGGCAAAACCCUCUACCAGGAAAAACUACAACUUGUUGAAGGCUCAGAUGAUGGUUAGCAUUUUUUAGCAAUAAAGUAUUUUUAAAUUAAGGUAUGUAAAUUUUUUAGACACAAUGCUAUUGCAUACUCAGUAGACCACAGUAUAGUUUAAACAUAACUUUUAUAUGCCCUGGGAAACCAAAAAAUCCAUGUGACUCACUUUGUGAUAUUCUGCUUUAUUGCAGUGGUCUGGAAUUGAACCUGCAGUAUCUCCAAGUCUCACCAGAUGACAACAUUUAGAAGUCUGACAAUUCCGAAUACAGAUGAAGGCACGGAACAACAGGGAUCUUCAUACACUGCCCUGGGAAGUGUGAAGUGGAAUAACUACUUUGGAGACUUGUUAGUUGAAGAGUGAAGACGUUGGAGAGGUUCCCCCCCGGCGAGCAGCCGCAGAUCAGGAUGGCCAGUGCCUCGACGUUGUUCAGC
Molecule: long non-coding RNA, 783 nt
Organism: Physeter macrocephalus (sperm whale)
Lineage: Eukaryota; Metazoa; Chordata; Mammalia; Artiodactyla; Physeteridae
Exons: 3
Source: RefSeq, a predicted model, not a curated record